This 253-nucleotide ribosomal RNA is filed under the name uncultured bacterium. RNAcentral describes it as "partial 16S ribosomal RNA". It matches the Rfam family "Bacterial small subunit ribosomal RNA", at positions 524 to 776 of the family's 1533-position model. The record is from RNAcentral.
UACGGAGGGUGCAAGCGUUAUCCGGAUUCACUGGGUUUAAAGGGUGCGUAGGAGGGCAGGUAAGUCAGCGGUGAAAUCUCUGGGCUUAACCCGGAAACUGCCAUUGAUACUAUCUGUCUUGAAUGCGGUGGAGGUGAGCGGAAUAUGUCAUGUAGCGGUGAAAUGCUUAGAUAUGACAUAGAACACCAAUUGCGUAGGCAGCUUACUACACGAUCAUUGACGCUGAGGCACGAAAGCGUGGGGAGCAAACAGG